RNAcentral lists this ribosomal RNA (513 nucleotides) under uncultured human intestinal bacterium. RNAcentral describes it as "bacterial SSU rRNA". It matches the Rfam family "Bacterial small subunit ribosomal RNA", at positions 8 to 521 of the family's 1533-position model. The record is from RNAcentral.
AGAGUUUGAUCCUGGCUCAGGAUGAACGCUGGCGGCGUGCUUAACACAUGCAAGUCGAACGAAGCGAUUUGAAUGAAGUUUUCGGAUGGAUUUUAAAUUGACUGAGUGGCGGACGGGUGAGUAACGCGUGGGUAACCUGCCCCAUACAGGGGGAUAACAGUUAGAAAUGACUGCUAAUACCGCAUAAGACCACAGCACCGCAUGGUGCAGGGGUAAAAACUCCGGUGGUAUGGGAUGGACCCGCGUCUGAUUAGCUUGUUGGCGGGGUAACGGCCCACCAAGGCGACGAUCAGUAGCCGACCUGAGAGGGUGACCGGCCACAUUGGGACUGAGACACGGCCCAAACUCCUACGGGAGGCAGCAGUGGGGAAUAUUGCACAAUGGGGGAAACCUUGAUGCAGCGACGCCGCGUGAGUGAUGAAGUAUUUCGGUAUGUAAAGCUCUAUCAGCAGGGAAGAAAAUGACGGUACCUGACUAAGAAGCCCCGGCUAACUACGUGCCAGCAGCCGCGGU